Molecule: transfer RNA, 73 nt
Filed under: Myxococcales bacterium
Lineage: Bacteria; Pseudomonadati; Myxococcota; Myxococcia; Myxococcales
Description: tRNA-Ala
Rfam family: tRNA
About the family: Transfer RNA (tRNA) molecules are approximately 80 nucleotides in length.
Source: RNAcentral
GGGGCCGUAGCUCAACUGGGAGAGCGUCGGUCUGGCAGACCGAAGGUUGCGGGUUCGAUCCCCGCCGGCUCCA